AAAAGAUCGCAUAAUGAAAAUAUGAAAGCAGAGAAAUUUGGUAGUUCUACCGCGCGCGCGCCUGAGAAGUACGCAAUCUGGGGUCCUUAAGCAAUCAACAGUUAUGUAAGUCAUCUGUAAUCUGCCCUCCAGAAGUUAUGUAAAUCAGAGGAAUCCAGCUUGGAACCAAAGGCUGCAAUUGACGGUGGAAGUGGAUCAUAUGCUUCACUGAAUGGUAGGAAUUGAAUCUUCUUGGGAAAUUUACAUUUCUUAAUAGUUCAUAUUUCUGGCUUCUCUCUUUAUCUUCAAUCGUCUGUGAUCAAUUUGUUUUCAGGAAAGAAGGGUGAUGUUAUUAUUGGAUGUCAUUUAAUCAGGGAUUACUCUGUACUUCUUUAUAUCAAUGUUGAAGUGAUAAUAAUGUUUCCAGAUUUCUGACA
Molecule: long non-coding RNA, 416 nt
Organism: Neltuma alba
Lineage: Eukaryota; Viridiplantae; Streptophyta; Magnoliopsida; Fabales; Fabaceae
Exons: 2
Source: RefSeq, a predicted model, not a curated record